RNAcentral lists this microRNA (17 nucleotides) under Macrophomina phaseolina MS6. RNAcentral describes it as "miR-1280". The record is from RNAcentral. Lineage: Eukaryota; Fungi; Ascomycota; Dothideomycetes; Botryosphaeriales; Botryosphaeriaceae.
ACCCACCGCUGCCACCU